Molecule: long non-coding RNA, 5194 nt
Filed under: Cucumis sativus (cucumber)
Lineage: Eukaryota; Viridiplantae; Streptophyta; Magnoliopsida; Cucurbitales; Cucurbitaceae
Description: long non-coding RNA (CSAT_LNC000206)
Source: RNAcentral
UGCCUUACUAUUACACAGACCAGUUCAAUUACAAAGUACUUUUGAUACAACACACUCAUAUGGAAACAAACAGUCAACACUUUAAUAUAUAUACCUUAGCAUACACUUUGUAAUAUUUGUACAAAAAGAUGACUAAUAACCAUUUUUGGUAAAGGGUUUACAAUGAAAAAAUAAAUAGAGACGUCUUUUGCUACAAACAAGCUUAAAAUAAGUACAUUGCAACCAAAAUUUUUGCUACCAACCCUACAAAAACUCUUAUAAAUCAAUCAAUUGCUCCAAUAUGGCUUCACCCAUCCAAUAGAUUCUUGCAAAACCUAGUAAGAAAAUAAAAUAUCAUUUUAGAGUAUGACUCUACACAUCAAUAUAAGAAUAUAACAAGGUUUUACUCUUUGUAAUGCCAACAAAGGUACAAAUGUAAAAGAAAAUCAACUUUUGAUAUCCAUGAGUCUCCCAAUCAACUUUAACACACCUCAACUAAUCUCAAGGUCAAGAAACCUUGUAGGAUUUUAAAUCUAUGGUAUGAGACCACUAUAAUUCGAACUCAAUCACUCAGAGAUUUUUUUUUUCAACGGUCUCCAUGACAAUACUUCUAGCCCUUGUCACUUCUUAUAAUUGGCCCCUUAUUACUCAAAUGGACAUAAACAACACUUUCUUAAAUGGAGAUUUUUUCUGAAGAUGUUCAUAUGUCCUUACUAAUGGGCUAUAACUUUCAAAGUGCUAAGAAAAGGGGAGAAACUAGCCUACAGACUAAAUAGAUCAAUCUACGAUCUUAAACAAGCUUCAAGACAAUGGAUUGUUAAGUUUGCAUCAACAUGAUCAUUACACGGUUUUCAUCAAUCAAAGUUCGAUUAUUCAUUAUAUACUCUAGGCAACGAAGAUGGUUUUGUGGCACCUAUUAGUAUAUCUAGACGACAUAUUACUAACUAGACCAUCCCUCAAGUAAUUGACUCUGUUAAAAGUGUUUUAGAAAGGACACUAUAAACUCAAAGAUUUGGAACAAGCUAAAUAUUUUAUGGGCUUAAAACUGUCUUGUUCUAAAAAAGGACUCAUGCUUUCCAAAAGAAAAUAUUGUCCGCAGAUACUUGAAGAUAUGGAUUUUUUAGAUGCAUAAAUCAGUAACGUUGCCUAUGGAUCCCAAUCUAAAACUCUCAAAAGAUGAAGUAAAAUUCAUUGUUGACGAGGAUAUCACUUGCUACACAAGAUUGAUUGGAAGAUAUUAUAUCCACAAAUAUCUCGUUCAGAUAUUUGUUUUGUUGUCCAUCGCCUUAGUCGGUUCCUUCAAAGGCUCACAAAAACUCAUUUAGAUACCACACGCCACUUGUUGAAAUACUUGAAGAGAUCGUCAGGCCAAGGCGUCUUGAUCAAACCAGUUGCUACUUUUCACCUAAUAGCCUUUGUUGAUGUUGAUUAGGGAGUAUGUCUCAACACUGGUCGAUCCAUAACUGGCAUUUGUAUCUUUUUGGGAGAUUCCAUAGUUUAUUGGAAGUAAAAAAAAAAAAAAAAAAAAAAGCAAGUCAUAGUCUCGAGAUCGUCUACAAAAGUCAAAUAUAGAGCACUAGCUUUAGUUACAAGUGAACACGUAUGGAUUACACAAUUACUCACUAAUCUACUUGUAAGACCCUCGUUACUAACAAUAGUAUUCUAUUCUAUGAUAAGCAGGCCACAACUGCAAUUGCUUCCAACCCAACAUUCCAUGAGAGGGCUAAACACACAUAGAUUGACUGCCACUUUGUUAGAGACAAAAUCGUCGAUGGAUUCCUCGAAGUCGUGCCCAUCAAAUCUAGACUACAACUAGCAUAACAAUUGGAAGUUUGUUAGGGUAAAGAGGUAGGAGCUUGUUAGAAUAUGUUAAACAUCAAACUUCCCCAACAAAGGACUUGAGCUUUGUAUUUAAUUAAUUGGUGGAGUUAUUUUCUGAUAGUAAGAUAAGUUCCUUUAUUCAACACUUGGUUACAUCUUAGAGUGUUUAAAAUCUUUUGAAAUAUAUACAUAUAUAUAUAUAUAUAUAUAUAUACACAAAGAUUCAAAUGUAACACAUUAUAGAAGAAAGAGGUUAUGUUAAUUAAACAUUGAACUCAUGUUAUCUACGUCUCUUUGAUUUUGCAAAUUGUGAUAUGGGGAAAAAAAGAGGACCACUACCUAGAGGGAAGAUUCAAAAGCAUGAUACGUGUAAGGCUCCAUCACCCUCCCUUUAGGAGUAAUCUACAUCCAGCUGGACAUACACAACACAUGAGAAAUGAUGCUGACAUCGACCAAAGGUCCCACGUGUCAUCUUUGUCAUACAAGGAUUAGGUUGCUUAUCGUGUGGUCAUCACAGUCCUUUCUUCUCGAAUUUACCCGCAACGCCACCGCCCACUUUGAUAUUUCAUUCGCCCUCUAUAUAACUUUUCCAAAAAUAUCUCACAUUUCAACUUUUACCCGUUUCCCAAAACCAAAACAAAUUCGAGUUAUUCUUCUCUUACAUGAAUUCCCACUUUUUCUGCAACUCUAUCUUCCAUUAAUGACUACGCUCGCCAAGCUCCACGUCUACCCACAAACUUUCGAUGGUCCAAGUACUAGAGAUGGGCAUCUGUUCGGAGCUCUUGGUCCGGGACUUCACCGGUUUGAUGCUGGAGUAUCGACAAGACGUGGUCGUGGGUUGUGCUUGAGAAAGUGUAGAUCCUUCAGAGGAGGGGAUGGUGGGGAUUUUGAGAAGGAGAAUAGUAAAGGGAGGAACCGGAGAAAUUCGAGGUUAAAAGAGGUGAAAAUGAAGAAGGAAAGUCAGUUUUGGAAAUUAUUGAGGUCUGGUGUUUUGGGUAAGUUUAAUUUGCUAAUGGGAUCGGAUGUUGAUCAGGGGAAGCUUAUGGCUAAUAUGGAGGGUUUGCUUUCUUCGGUGAGUAUUGCUCUGUGUUGCUCUUCUUAUGUUCUUCGUAAACCCUGUCUCAAGUUCAUGUAUUCUUUGUUCAUCAAGCGAUAUUGAGUUGUUUGGAACAAACUUGAGGAUUUUUCAAAUAGCCCCCUGAUACAUGGUUCUUUACCAUUACUUGGCUUGUUGAGCAAAUGUGCAUGUAGUUUUAGCUCAAAUCACUGUACCUUGAUGUUCGAUUUUUUUUAGUAUAAGAAACCAAUCUUAUAAAAGACAUUAAAAAAAUAUACUCAUACAUCCUCCAAGAAUGGCUGCAUUCGAAAGAAUGAUACUAAGCUGAUAAUUACGAGAAGUUUGACAAACGGAUGCCCAUAAGGAGGCUUUAAAUCUCGCCCCCUCCAUAUUUGUUCUAAGGAAUUCAAAUUGGAAGUUUUCGUUUUCGUUUUCGUUAUUUGUUUUUAGGAUUUCGAAUUUGAAUUUCGUAUAAUUGGAUAAAGAUAUGAAUGAACAAGAAGGAAACUACUCUGGCUACUGUGGCAUCAAAUUGAACCAAAGCCAACUUAAGUCGUAAAUGUAUAGAUCUAUUUUUUUCUAUAUGGUAGAUUUGAUGUAUGUAUACUCAUGAACCAAGGACAUAUGCUUUAAUUUUUUUAUUGGAGACUGUAGUAGUAUCACUGACUGUAGCUCCUUUAUUAUCUUUAAUAAAUAGGCUGCAGUCCAAAUUGGAAGAUAUAUUGUUACAAUGAUGAGCACUGGUGUCGUACUUGCUGUCGGGUUUCAGUUAUCAGGUAUACAACAUUUUAAAAUUAAAAAAAAAAAUACUAUUGUCAUUGUCGAUGUUAAUAUGAAUUCUGUUUCUUGAAAAUUAUGAAGGUGGUGACAGCCAGAUGAACACCUUGAUUUGGUAUAGUUGGCUCGGAGGGGUUAUUAUUGGAACCAUGAUUGGUGCGAACAUGGUAUUAGAGGAGCACUGCAGUGCUGGUCCACGCAAUGUUGUUAUAACUGGAAGGUAACUAAUCACUCCGCAGGGGGAAUGUAGAUAAUUGGCACAUUGUUUUAAUAAUUACGUGGUGAUAGGAAGAUUACUUUAUCUAAUGUUCAUUGUUGGCUUGUUUGAUCUUCCUUUGAUAUAUUAAACUGCCUGCCAUGCUCGUAACAUGAAGACUCAUAUAUGAUCUGUUGUCUGUUACAUGGAUGGUUGAUUAUGCAGCACAAGAGGAUUGGGGAAAGCACUAGCCAGAGAGUUUCUUCUUUCAGGAGACCGUGUUGUUGUAGCUUCUCGCAGGUGGUUUUCAGAAUUAAAUUAAAGUUCUGAUACUUAAUAUAUCAAGGUUUUUACACCUUGCUCACAUCACAUUUCCUUGCCCAAUAAUUUUUUGAAGACAGCUCUGAAUCUGUUCAAGAAACUCUAAGGGAGCUCGAGGAAAACUUAAAAGGUCUAAUGGUCAGAAGUGGUUCUUCCAAUAAAAGCCUGGCACAUGCUAAAGUUGUUGGCACAACGUGCAAUGUUUGCGACCCUGAAGACGUUCAUAAAUUAGCCAAUUUUACUUUAAAUGAACUUGGUUCCAUUGACAUUUGGGUGAGUCAUGAACUUACAGUGAACUUUUCAUGCUCAAACUUGUACUAUAUGCUGCUUUUCUUGAAGUCUUUCUGUAAUCAUAAUUUGAUUUUAGAUCUACUGAUACAUUCUUAAAAUAGUGCCUUCAUGCCUUGUUCACUUUGAGGGAAUUUAUCUUACUAUAAAAAAAUAAGCUAUGCUUAUUCACAAACAUUUAAAUUUUACAUCAUUAAGGAUAUCAAAUCAUGCCUAUUUUCAGUCUUGUUAAAAUAAAAUCUAAUUCAAGAUUUUAUUUUAACAAAUUGUGGACAGAUAAACAAUGCGGGCACGAAUAAAGGCUUUAGACCAUUACUGCAGUUUACAGAUGAAGAUAUUACUCAGGUAAGCUAAAAUUAUUAAUUCUGAAUUUCCCCCCUAAACUUCUCUUGAUAAAUCUGAACAUAAUGUUCUCCAAUAGAUAUGAGCUCUUUGAAUAUGUUGAGCGUUGUCAGUUUAUUGGGCAUAUUUAAGAUACAACUUACAAGUUGAUUUAAUUUCAUACACUGAUUAUUUGAUAGAUUCUCUCAACAAACCUCGUUGGUUCCCUUCUUUGUACUCGAGAAGCCAUGCGUGUAAUGAGAAAUCAGGCUAAAGGAGGGCAAAUAUUUAACAUGGAUGGUGCUGGUUCAGGAGGUUCAAGUACUCCUUUGACGGCUGUGUAAGUUCAUUGGCUCUUUGCUUACUAUGAAAUGUAAAUGUAGUUGUUAUGUCUAUGAAACCAACGUUGGUUUUGGUGUUUAUGCAAUUUAGUU